AACGAACGCUGGCGGCAUGCCUAACACAUGCCAGUCGAACGAGACCUUCGGGUCUAGUGGCGCACGGGUGCGUAACGCGUGGGAACCUGCCCUUAGGUUCGGAAUAACUCCCCGAAAGGGGUGCUAAUACCGGAUAAUGUCUUCGGACCAAAGAUUUAUCGCCUUUGGAUGGGCCCGCGUUGGAUUAGCUAGUUGGUAGGGUAAAAGCCUACCAAGGCGACGAUCCAUAGCUGGUCUGAGAGGAUGAUCAGCCACACUGGGACUGAGACACGGCCCAGACAGCUACGGGAGGCAGAGGGAGGGAUGAAGGGACAGGGGGCGAAAGCCGGCUGCGGCGAGGCCGGGGGAGUGAAGAGGGUCGUAUGGUUGUAAAGUGCUUUGACCGGGAAUGAUAAAGACGGGAGGGGGAGAUUAAUCUUCGGCAACCGCGGAGCCAGAGGCGGCGGGAAUGUAGCAAGAGCAAACGGCUGAGC
Molecule: ribosomal RNA, 473 nt
Filed under: uncultured bacterium
Lineage: Bacteria
Description: partial 16S ribosomal RNA
Rfam family: Bacterial small subunit ribosomal RNA
Source: RNAcentral